ACAACGGCCCUUUUCAGGGCCAUUUAACAUUUCAAAGUUAGUCGACU
Octopus bimaculoides (California two-spot octopus) is the source of this 47-nucleotide non-coding RNA. The record is from Rfam. Lineage: Eukaryota; Metazoa; Mollusca; Cephalopoda; Octopoda; Octopodidae.